AAUUAUAUUACUUUUGACUUGAGUAAUUAGUGACAUGCUGACAGAACAAAAUUUACCUGACAUAAUAAUUUUACAAUUUUCCUUUUAAUAAAAUCAAAAUAAAAUGUUUUCCAAAAAUGACAUAAAAAACUUUAAAUACAAAAACUACCCUAUAACAUAUUUCCCUCCGCUCAAAUAUGUUUGUCCUCAAACAUUAAAAAAACAAAAGAUUAUCACAAAGAAUGCAGUUGAUUUAAAAAGAAAAUACAAUAUAAAACCUGAAAAUUAACUAAGUUGAUAAUAAGUCAUUAUGAUUACAUAAAACAGAAUAACACAUAGAACAUUACAUAUUUAAAAAGAAGAUAAAACACAGACACUCAUCCUCCCACACAACAUACUGGGUGCAACUUGCACAAGAUGACCAAGUCUUAUACAAGUGCAUGGUGUAAAACUGAGUGGUCAAUCCAGCUAUACACCAUUUGAUUUACCAGUACAUUCACAAGCUAAAGAAUAACAGAAAAACAAAUCAUACAAACAUUGAAAAAAAACAUUGCUUAUAUUAAGCAUAUACAUUCAAGACAUUCACAAUAUUUACUAUAUUAAUUUGGGG
Molecule: long non-coding RNA, 589 nt
Filed under: Mytilus galloprovincialis (Mediterranean mussel)
Lineage: Eukaryota; Metazoa; Mollusca; Bivalvia; Mytilida; Mytilidae
Source: RNAcentral